This 2046-nucleotide long non-coding RNA is filed under the name Vigna radiata. RNAcentral describes it as "long non-coding RNA (VRAD_LNC008884)". Lineage: Eukaryota; Viridiplantae; Streptophyta; Magnoliopsida; Fabales; Fabaceae. The record is from RNAcentral.
UGGGUGCAUGUUUGUGAUGAAGAUGAUUAAUAGUGUAAUGGAUAAAGGUUUAUUUGAUUACUAGUGACUUUAUAGUUUAAUAUAUAGGUGUCUGAAAUAAAAUGAAUAAACAAAAUAAGGAUUAAGUGAUUAAUGAGAAGUUUACAUGGACAUAUUGAAAGUUUUGGAUAAUGGCUAAAGUCUAAGUCCAGAGCAUAAAGGAAUUUUACUUCAUAAUUUUGUGAGACAUUUCAUGAUAAAAUUAUUUUACAAAAAAAAAAAACACAAAUUACAAAGAUUUUUUAAGUGUCUAAAAUAUUUAUCCUUUGUGUUCUUAAUGGAUUUGGAAUGUGUAUCGAUAAGACACAUGUCAAGAUUCUAGGAAAAUUUUUGUCUGGCAAGUUAGUAAGGACAAAAAAAAUUCAUAUACAAAAUUUUUUCUAAGUCCAUAAAAGAAUUGAUGAUCUUUUUAGGAGUAUAUAAAAAAGUACGAUUAAGUUAUACUUCUUGAUUGAGUUCUUUAUAUAAAACUAAAGAGAUAGGGUCAUUGUGUCCAAGUAUUGGAAGAGGCAUGACAAAUAAUUAUAUCAUAAAAGAGAAGUCACAAUGGUUAUAUGACUUGAAUGUCCAUUAUGGGCAAAACUGUCGCAUGGAUUAAAGUCUCUUCAUAGACCGAGUAAGUACACAAAUCCUCCUAAAUUCAAAAAUUUGAUAGACAUAAUAUGUCAUCUUGUUGGAAGACAACUUGCCCUUUGACCAAGUUUCAUCUAACUUGUGUAGGUAAAAAAGACUUUAUAGUGGUAGUAAUUGACCAUUUGCUCAAGUUGAAGUCAAAUUUAUGUGUAGAUGCAUGACCUUUUGGUCAAGCUCUAAGCGAAUCUCUAUGACCGAGAAGAAGUUACUUUCUAGGACUUAAUUGUCUUAAUUUGUCAUGUUACUUAUCCUUUGCAUUUUUGUGUUGCAUUAACGAGGGGUUUUGGAUUAUGAUUUCUUUUGGCAAGUGAAAUAAUACUUCAUUAAAUGAAUAUGACUUUGCUACUCACAUGUUAUCACCCUAGUGAUUGUUGAGGGGAUGUGAAGCACCAAGGGUCAACUUUCUUGGAGGGAAAUAUCGCUUGAAAAAGACUUUUAUUUUAAAACUCCAUGACUCCCUACAUUUCGCUUUUAUUUUUUCUUACUUGCCUCAUGUUUCCUCUUCUUCAAGUUAUCUUCUCCUUUGCAACUCUCUGCAUUUCCAUCUUCAAGGUUUUCUCCUCAGGCCAUUCCUAAAAUUUGAUUCAAGCCUACGUCUCUGCUUCUUUGCUAUUAGGUAUGUCUUCUUCAUCCAACUCUUGUUUAGGUCACCCUCUAAUAGAAAGGGAGGUUACCCUAUGGAUGAGUAAUAACACCUCAUUUCAGAUUUGUGGCAAAACUAUUUUCGAACAGAAAAGGACUAAACCCCAACAGCUAAAUUGAAGCAGUACAGGAAAAUGGAUGGUAAUGGUUUUGUAGAAACGAAGGAAGUCACAUCACUAGGAGGAGGUUUCAAGAUAAGUGAGAAAGAUAUGCCGCUUUGAAUGCUAACACUCAAAGAUAAGGACCGAAGUCCUAAAGAACACAGAUUAUCGUCACACCACUCUACGAUUAUCGUCAGAUCACUCAAAUCAACACUCGAGAUAAGUGAAUCUUUGAAAUUUAUCACACCACCCACUAUAGUUGUGAUAUAAGUGAGAAUCUCCAAAAAAUAAAAAUGUGUCAUCACCUCGCCACUCACAAUUGCAUGAGGUAGUAUUCAUCACUCCAACCCCAAAUCCAACUUUUGUUUCACAUCAGGCUCCACUUCAUUUGUUCUAAAAGAAGAAAAAAACAUCUUGAUGCAUUGCCAAUUUGCAGAGGUUACUUUGGUUGUUGCCACCACAUGGACCAUGAACUUGAUGAUGUCUUAACUUUGGAUGAAAGGUCCAAAUUCUGAAUCAGAACAAGACAAAAAAUUAUGCAGCUUCUAAUUCAUCAAUUUUGUUUGCUACAUUGGCCAACAUUUAGAAGUAAUUCCACUUCAAGCCACGUGCCUAUGCGAAAACUUUAAUU